AAGUCAUCAAUCUAGGACUGACAUUUAUGAUUACAGAAUUUGUUGUUAAAUGCUGUCGAUUGACUUGUAACAGAUAAUUAGUAAACGAGCCAUUUAUUAUUUAAAAAUGUAAAAGUAAUUUCGUUUUGCAAGAACAAAAAAGGCGCAAAGCUAAAAGCUUGCCAAUAGAGUAACCACCACCAAAGCAUUUCACCUUUGUAGCAGAGAAGUCCCCUCUUCGCUGUCAUCUUCAUUUAGUAGCCGGUUAAAUUGGGCAUUCAUUCUGUCUCUAAUAUCAUUGACUCUCCGUCGAAAUGCAGCGCUCCGUUCAGACAUGACUGUCCAUAUAAAGUCUGCCAAAAGGCUGGGCAGAUAUAUAUAUAUAGCAUCCCAAAAAUUCAAAGUACGGCGGGAGAAGGUACAUCGUUUGUGAUUGGAUCAGCAAGACUGAAGGUUGUCUUUUUUUUUUUUUUUUUUUUUUAAAUAAUCCACCCCUUACCACAACCUGUGAUCAGAAUUUGUGGUAACCAAUUCUGAGUCAACGUCAUAUUUGUGUCGUCUCAAUCAAGCUAUGUGCGACAAACUACAUCUAGGUGAAAGGAUGCGAAAUCUCUGCACCAACAAAAAAAACAACAGAAAAACCCAAAACACAUUUGACCUCAACAGGUGACAACAACAUCGAAAACAAACAAAAGACCCCCCCAAAAAAAGUCUAUUUAUAGAUGACCAGAGACCAAAGCGACAAUCAUCUGAACAGCCUCUUUCACAGUGGUACAUCCCUCCAGGUAACCAUUCACAAGUCUUGUACAGUAGAGCGGGACAUUACAUUUACUCUCAGCCGAAUUGACCUGAGAAAGCAUAUAAGUUCAUGCACUCCACUGGCCUGCACCACGAUUAGUAUAAGGUAAGAAUGAAUGCAUUUGCUACUAUUCGUUAUUUACAGGUUAUUUCAGUAAACUCAUUUGAAUUAGAUCGUGACAGAUGUUCAGAAUUUUCAGCUUUUGAUGUCCAUCCCGAUAAGCACGCAUGUGCCUUUUUAAAUGCAUGUAUAGUUGUAUCUACAAUACCAGGAUUUAGUAAUACAGUGGGGUAUACAAAGAGCCAAAUGAGAGUGUUAAGCAGCCAGUAAAACCCAACACUGCAGACUGAAAGACAAACUCCAUGAACUGAAAACUGACCUUAAAUAUGGGUGCGGCAAAACCACAGUGAGGAGAAAAAAGUUCCAAAACUAACGCACAGGAAGCCAUAAGGUAGACAAACAAAGUGUACAGCUUGAAACAUAACAACAGAGUAGAGAGCUGAGGAAAGCUGAAGGCUUAAGAACUUGCGCAAGUUGAUUAGGGAGAGAGGACGCAGCUGGGAGAAACAAGACACAGGUGAAUUGAAUCAAACAAGUAUGACCAGUUGAAGUAAAAGCAAGUGCACAAAAGCCUAGAGGUCAACAAUAUAAAGCAGUAACCAACUAAAGAUAGGACACAGAAAUGCAGACUUUGCACUAGGAACACUGAAUGGCAGGAGAACCGCCUCAAAGAAUAAAGAAAUGAAUAAAGAACAGUAUAUGCAGAAAAUAAAGAAUAAAGUUAAAAGACAGCGUGGUCUUCAAGAACCCAGAGUACAAUACAAAAAUGUUGUUUUAUUCAAGUGAACAAAACAAUGUAGACCAAGUUCAUUUUGUUAAUAAGUUGGAAAUAAAUAAAAACUAAUGACAGCAUUUAAAAUAAAAAAAAAUGAAUAACAUAGAUUAUCAAAACUGAUUUUUCAGAUAUGCAGAG
Oreochromis aureus is the source of this 1751-nucleotide long non-coding RNA. NCBI's taxonomy places the organism in Eukaryota, Metazoa, Chordata, Actinopteri, Cichliformes, Cichlidae. The record is from Ensembl.